GCCCCGCGGAGGCCGAAGCGGCGCGGGCGGCCGUGGGGCAGCGGGGCCCGCCUGAGUCUUGAGGUGGAAGAGGGCCUUCACGGUGGGCUUUUCACGUCCGGAGACUGUGUCCGAGGAGGUCAAGCACGUGAGAGUGCUUUGUAACCGGAACGUGCCUUUCAAAAGCAGCUCCAGAUUUGCUCCUGCUACCUGGUAGGAUGGAACACCUGACCAUGGGACAUCAAGUGACCGCAUGAGUAAUCACACCACCCAUCGUGAGCUGACAUUGUCUGAUUCCCAAGACCGCACAGCUGGAUGAGCACAGAGCAGUCCGCUCCCUGUUAGACUGGGGACUGGCUGCGGCAGAACUAAAGGAGCAGGUAGUCCUGACCCUGCCCCUUCAGCGUUUCUCCCCAACCCGUAUAAACUGGCUUCAGGAGGAGUUCCUUCUGACCAGUUAAUGGAAGAGAAAAAAGUGUGGGUCCUAUUCAUUCUUGAAAGGAUCUGCCGUGAGCUGGCCACAGCUGGAUGUGAAUGAUCACGAAAAUAAUCCAUUAGCACCCUUCCUUACCCAUUACUCAAACUGGCAUUCUCAACCUAAGGGAACUUGGAAGUAAGAAAAAGACUGAGCAGCAAGGAAAAUAGGUGUUGUAAGCUUUGUUCUGUAACAAAAAUAUUGAUCUGUUCUUGAGGAAUUGUUUCACAAAGGUGAAUUCUCCAUGUAACUGAAGCUUCAUUAUUCAUCAUGGACAGAAAGUUAGUGUAGUUUGAAGGGUCUUUACCAGUACGCUGUAAGUUUAACAACUAGGCUCUCCAGGGCUAAAAAAAAAAAGUUCUGAUUGUGAUGUUUGCUAAUUCCAGUGGGGUUAAAUACUCCCACUGUGACUCUACUUCAGGCUAACACAGGACAUCACUGAACACAGAGGUGGAAAGAGGUGUAGACUAUCAGAUUAUAAGAUUUCCCUCAUGUGCACACAACAGACAUAAUCAUAAAAACAUGGGUAAUAAUGAAAUAGUAAAAUAACUAAGAAAAUUAGUUUUGAGUAUUUAUUAUUCAGUAAUAUUGGAUAUUACUAUAACUUUCAGUUUAUAUAAUUAAUUUCUGAUAAUGGCUGUUGUUUAAAUUCUGAAAAAUUCUUAAAACUUUUUAUUUUUUAAAUUCAUUUAUUUUUAAACUGAAGGAUAAUUACUUUACAGUAUUAUGUUGGUUUCUACCAAACAUCAGCAUGAAUCAGCCAUAGGUUUUAAAACUUUUAAAAUCAGCACUCAUAAGGCAGCGUCCCAGCUCUAGCAUACUGUUGUCUAUGCUCUUAAAGAAGGGACAAGGACUGACCAAUAUAAGUGGUUCUGCUAGCUAAAGCUAAAACAGAUUUAAUACUCAGAUUUAUAUAGUGAACCCUUAAAUUCCACCAUCACACAAAGUCAAGUCCUUGAUAAAAAUAAAGUCUUUUUCAUUUUCUUCCAUGUAUAUGCUACCUUGUUAUGACUUGGUUAUUACUUCCUAAAAUCUUGGCUGCUGUAAAUGUUUAAUCUCUGUUGCCUGUAAAUAAAUACUGACUAAAGGAACCCAACAAGCAGUGGGCAAAAAAAUGCAAAUAGACAUUUCUUCAAAGAAGGUAUAUGGAUGGCAGAGCAGCACAUGAAAGGAUGCUGAACAUCAUCAUCACCAGGGAAAUGUAGAUUAAAAGGACAAUGAGAUACCACUACAUACCUAUUACAAUGACUAAGAUUAAAGACAAAUCAUAAGAAUUCAGGAGGAAUUGGAACUCUCAUACAUAGCAGGAAGGAAUGUAAAAAGGUAUAGUCACCUGAGAAAGUGUGGCAGAUUCUUAAAAAGUUAAACAUAUGCCUACCAUAUGAUCCAGUGAUUCCACUUCUAGCUAUUUACUCAAGAGAAAUGAAAGCACAUGUCCAUAUGAACAGUCAUACAAGAAUGUUCAUAGCAGUUGUAUUUGUAAUAGACAAAAACUGGAAACAACCCAGAUGUCCACAGGAGAAUGGAUAAAAUAAUCGUGGCACAUCCAUAAAAUGGAAUAUGACUCAGCAACUUUUAAAAAACUAUCAAGAGACAAAACAUAGAUAAAUCUCAAAACAAUUAUGCCCGUGUAAAAAGCCAGAGAAGAAAAUAGGGCAUACUCUAUGACUCUAUUUAAAUAAAAUUCUAGAAAAAACUAAUCAGCAGUGGCAGAAAACAGACCAGGGGUUUCCUGUGGCUGAGGGAUGGGAAGAAGAAGAGAGUUUACACAGGAGUAAAAGGACACUUGCAGUGAUGGAUACGCUCAUCAUUUUGACUUUGGUGAUAAUUUCACAGGUGUAUACAUAUGUCAGCUUUCAAACUGCAUACUUUAUAUGCAGUUUAGUUUGUAUCAACUAUAUUUCAAUAAAGCUAUUAAAAAACACAAUCUACUCUCAUAUGACCAGGAGAGAUGAGCAAAAAAAGGAAACUACUUUGUUUUGCAUAACUUAGUUACAUCUUUCAUGGUAAAAAUGUAUAGGUCCUUUGGGCAGCCCCAAGCAUAUUGCUGUUGUCUUUAUCACAUGCUGUUAGGCCAGAUUCUCUUCAUCUGAGUGCCUGUCUUUACAUUUAUCUCUUAAUAAACUUCAUAUUGUUUUUGUUGUUUA
Long non-coding RNA from Dama dama (fallow deer), 2601 nucleotides. RefSeq lists it as uncharacterized. The record is from RefSeq and is a predicted model, not a curated record. Lineage: Eukaryota; Metazoa; Chordata; Mammalia; Artiodactyla; Cervidae. The transcript has 3 exons.